GAUGAACGCUAGCGGCAGGCCUAAUACAUGCAAGUCGAACGAGAUUACGAGGCUUGCUUCUUAUGAAAGUGGCGCACGGGUGCGUAACGCGUAUGCAACCUACCUUAAUCAGGGGGAUAGCCCGAAGAAAUUCGGAUUAAGACCGCAUAAAAACACAGGAUAGCAUUAUCCAAUGUUCAAAUAUUUAUAGGAUUAAGAUGGGCAUGCGUGUCAUUAGCUAGUUGGCGGGGUAACGGCCCACCAAGGCGACGAUGACUAGGGGAUCUGAGAGGAUGACCCCCCGCACUGGUACUGAGACACGGACCAGACUCCUACGGGAGGCAGCAGUAAGGAAUAUUGGUCAAUGGAGGGAACUCUGAACCAGCCAUGCCGCGUGCAGGAAGACAGCCCUCUGGGUCGUAAACUGCUUUUAUUCGGGAAUAAACCUUUCUACGUGUAGGAAGCUGAAUGUACCGAAGGAAUAAGGAUCGGCUAACUCCGUG
This 482-nucleotide ribosomal RNA is filed under the name uncultured bacterium. RNAcentral's name for it is "partial 16S ribosomal RNA". It matches the Rfam family "Bacterial small subunit ribosomal RNA", at positions 28 to 507 of the family's 1533-position model. The record is from RNAcentral.